This 540-nucleotide ribosomal RNA is filed under the name Clonostachys rosea. RNAcentral's name for it is "eukaryotic LSU rRNA". The stretch from base 158 to 311 matches the Rfam family "5.8S ribosomal RNA". The record is from RNAcentral. Lineage: Eukaryota; Fungi; Ascomycota; Sordariomycetes; Hypocreales; Bionectriaceae.
UAUUCGGGGUUCACUCCCAACCCAUGUGAACAUACCUACUGUUGCUUCGGCGGGAUUGCCCCGGGCGCCUCGUGUGCCCCGGAUCAGGCGCCCGCCUAGGAAACUUAAUUCUUGUUUUAUUUUGGAAUCUUCUGAGUAGUUUUUACAAAUAAAUAAAAACUUUCAACAACGGAUCUCUUGGUUCUGGCAUCGAUGAAGAACGCAGCGAAAUGCGAUAAGUAAUGUGAAUUGCAGAAUUCAGUGAAUCAUCGAAUCUUUGAACGCACAUUGCGCCCGCCAGUAUUCUGGCGGGCAUGCCUGUCUGAGCGUCAUUUCAACCCUCAUGCCCCUAGGGCGUGGUGUUGGGGAUCGGCCAAAGCCCGCGAGGGACGGCCGGCCCCUAAAUCUAGUGGCGGACCCGUCGUGGCCUCCUCUGCGAAGUAGUGAUAUUCCGCAUCGGAGAGCGACGAGCCCCUGCCGUUAAACCCCCAACUUUCCAAGGUUGACCUCAGAUCAGGUAGGAAUACCCGCUGAACUUAAGCAUAUCAAUAAGCGGAGGAA